RNAcentral lists this long non-coding RNA (863 nucleotides) under Prunus persica (peach). RNAcentral describes it as "long non-coding RNA (PPER_LNC001513)". The record is from RNAcentral. Lineage: Eukaryota; Viridiplantae; Streptophyta; Magnoliopsida; Rosales; Rosaceae.
AGCUUUGAGAGAUUUGUUAAUUGAUCAUGGCAUAAUAAUAAAAAGGUUUUUUUGGUUGGAGGAUAAUAAAAAGGUUCAAGCAGUAAUUUGCCAAAGGCAUAAUUGCAUCAAUACUGCGCGUUUCAUUAAAAGGAAACAAAAACAAUGCGAAGACGACGUCGUUUGCACUACAGAAAAAUGAAAACAAAAAAACCCUAGUCAUCUUCCUCGUUUGAAAGGCCUUGCAACACGCCUCAGGAAAGAGGGGCAUUGACUGCACGACUGGACCUAGCUAGUCAACUGAAAGCCAUGCAACAUUUUACCCAAAAAAAAAAAAAAAAAGCCAUGCAAUAUUUCCAGGACCCAAGUCCACAUGAAUUAUUAAAUUGUUUGACUGCUUUAGAACAGACAUGGAAAUUGUUUAUACCUAAUUAAACGGCCUAUUUCCACAGGACAUGUGGACAGGAUCCACUCUGAUCACAGGGCCCCUACGGCAUGCUCACUACCGAAGCUAUAUAUCUUGGCCCUUUUUACCAACAGACACGUGUCGUGUUCACAAUCCAUGCCUGGAGUCUCACAUCGGAAAAAUGAGCACAAAGCACACCUCCCAAGGUCUAUAUAAGGAGACCCAUAUCCCCAAAAGGAAAAGAAGAAGAACUAACGGUACGCUAUCGUGUGAUCUGUCAGUUAACCUUACUAAAUCCAUACUCAUUUAGGCAUCGGAGAGCCUUCGGCCGGUACCGCACCGGUACCCCAAGGAUUUACCGAACGCGUCCUUUUGCAGGUACUUGACCCUCUGGAGUGGACCACUUACCAAGGACAGGGACCUACCGAAGGGACAUUUUGACUAAGUUGACGAAUUACGUAUCAAACCACUUUUUCGC